Molecule: transfer-messenger RNA, 408 nt
Filed under: Anaerolineae
Lineage: Bacteria; Bacillati; Chloroflexota
Also listed under: 1 other name
Description: JAAYZQ01 sp012514775 Standard tmRNA
Rfam family: transfer-messenger RNA
About the family: Bacterial tmRNA, also known as 10Sa RNA or SsrA, is named for its dual tRNA and mRNA-like properties. Its role is to liberate the mRNA from a stalled ribosome.
Source: RNAcentral
GGGGAUGAAAUGGUUUCGACAGGGAAGGCUGGGCUGGGACUGCAAGCCGAGGCGCCCGUGCCGCGUUAAAAAUGGGCAAACAAUCAAGUGCCAAACAGCGCACUCAACCAGCUUUCGCGCUCGCCGCGUAAACGGCAAACGCGAUAGCAUGACCGCUUGACGGUCACGUCCGCCCUUUCCCUCCCCCGGGGGAGAGACCGGCGGGCGACAGAAAACCGGGGGUGCCCUCCCACGAGACGCCGAUACGUGGGAUCAGAGGCGGGGAGUUCACGCGCCCUGCAUCGGCUGGCCAGGGCCGCAGCCUGUUGAUCGGCGGCUGCUCUGGCGAGAACCAAAUGGUCAACUAAGCUUGUAGAUGUUCCUGUUCGAGUUCUCUGGACGCGGGUUCGAUUCCCGCCAUCUCCACCU